AGCUCCAAUAGCGUAUAUUAAAGUUGUUGCGGUUAAAAAGCUCGUAGUUGGAUUUCUGCCGAGGACGACCGGUCCGCCCUCCGGGUGAGUAUCUGGCUCGGCCUGGGCAUCUUCUUGGAGAACGUAGCUGCACUUGGCUGUGUGGUGCGGUAUUCAGGACUUUUACUUUGAGGAAAUUAGAGUGUUUCAAGCAGGCAUACGCCUUGAAUACAUUAGCAUGGAAUAAUAAGAUAGGACCUCGGUUCUAUUUUGUUGGUUUCUAGAUCUGAGGUAAUGAUUAAUAGGGAUAGUUGGGGGCAUUCGUAUUUAACUGUCAGAGGUGAAAUUCUCAGACCAGCGGAAGACGAACCACUGCGAAAGCAUUUGCCAGGGAUGUUUUCA
This 381-nucleotide ribosomal RNA is filed under the name uncultured eukaryote. Its description in RNAcentral is "SSU rRNA". It matches the Rfam family "Eukaryotic small subunit ribosomal RNA", at positions 587 to 972 of the family's 1831-position model. The record is from RNAcentral.